RNAcentral lists this ribosomal RNA (407 nucleotides) under Xenosternum sp. BIOUG02575-G12. RNAcentral's name for it is "partial 28S ribosomal RNA". It matches the Rfam family "Eukaryotic large subunit ribosomal RNA", at positions 449 to 777 of the family's 3401-position model. The record is from RNAcentral. Lineage: Eukaryota; Metazoa; Arthropoda; Insecta; Hymenoptera; Braconidae.
UUUUUUAAAAAUAUUGAAGAUCCUUGGUGUUUCCUGACCAACUGUUUGGCGGUAUUCGUACGGUAUUCAGCCGCAUAAUUUAUUAUGCGUUCAUGCCCAUCACAAGCGAGGUGAGUUUCUGAUAGUACGGACCUAGUGCCGUCGUUGGAGCUAACCAGCUGUUGGUUGUAUGGUGUUCUAGAACUGGCUGAAAUAUAAAAAUUACCGGUCGGCGAUGCUACUGCUUUGGGUACUUUCAGGACCCGUCUUGAAACACGGACCAAGGAGUCUAACAUGUGCGCAAGUCAUUGGGAUUUUUUAAAAAUUAAACCUAAAGGCGUAAUGAAAGUAAAGAUCGAUCUUGCAUCGAUUGAGGGAGGAUGAGCUAUAUUAUGAUAUAGUUCCGCACUCCCGGGGCGUCUCAUCUU